CCCCCCGCCCCCAUCUCCCUCCCUUAGCUGCUGCAAGGAGCUAGAGAGCUUGGAGUGAAUGACAAUUUGGAGAAACAGCCGCAGCCUGAAGAUCUAAGAGGCUCUAAAGAAGAUGGAUAAGAAAAUCGAUGCAUAAUAAAAACUGCAGGCAAAGCCACCUUGACGGAGGCAUGUCAGAAGAUGCUGUAAGGGAGAAAUGGUACCUUUUCAUCUCUUCUAAUCCCAGCAGUUUGGGAAGCUGAGGUACAUGCAAGAAGUUUGUGGAUACAGAGCGGCAGCAGGAACCAGAC
RNAcentral lists this long non-coding RNA (290 nucleotides) under Rhinopithecus bieti (black snub-nosed monkey). RNAcentral's name for it is "lncRNA (ENSRBIG00000045763.1)". Lineage: Eukaryota; Metazoa; Chordata; Mammalia; Primates; Cercopithecidae. The record is from RNAcentral.